CCGUGAGGGAAAGGUGCAAAGAACCCCAGGGUGGGUAGUGAAAUAGAACCUGCAACUAUGCGCUUACAAGCUGUGGAAGCCCAUUUCUUGUGUGACCGCGUACUUUUGGUAGAACGGGCCAACGAGUUACGUUCCGUAGCACGGUUAAGCGCUUAAGGUGUUGCGCCGUUGAGACAUCUAGUUCUAACUGAGCGCUCAGUUACUUGACGUAG
This 212-nucleotide ribosomal RNA is filed under the name Clostridioides difficile. RNAcentral's name for it is "partial 23S ribosomal RNA". It matches the Rfam family "Bacterial large subunit ribosomal RNA", at positions 501 to 712 of the family's 2925-position model. Lineage: Bacteria; Bacillati; Bacillota; Clostridia; Peptostreptococcales; Peptostreptococcaceae. The record is from RNAcentral.